UGCCAGCCGCCGCGGUAAUACGGAGGAUGCAAGCGUUAUCCGGAUUUAUUGGGUUUAAAGGGUGCGCAGGCGGAAAAUUAAGUCAGUGGUGAAAUCCUGCAGCUCAACUGUAGAACUGUCAUUGAUACUGAUUUUCUUGAAUUUAGUUGAGGUGGGCGGAAUGUGUAAUGUAGCGGUGAAAUGCUUAGAUAUUACACAGAACACCGAUUGCGAAGGCAGCUCACUAAGCUGUUACUGACGCUGAGGCACGAAAGCGUGGGGAGCGAACAGGAUUAGAUA
RNAcentral lists this ribosomal RNA (279 nucleotides) under uncultured bacterium. RNAcentral describes it as "partial 16S ribosomal RNA". It matches the Rfam family "Bacterial small subunit ribosomal RNA", at positions 506 to 784 of the family's 1533-position model. The record is from RNAcentral.